Molecule: ribosomal RNA, 211 nt
Filed under: uncultured Staphylococcus sp.
Lineage: Bacteria; Bacillati; Bacillota; Bacilli; Caryophanales; Staphylococcaceae
Description: partial 16S ribosomal RNA
Rfam family: Bacterial small subunit ribosomal RNA
Source: RNAcentral
CGGGAAACCGGAGCUAAUACCGGAUAAUAUUCGAACCGCAUGGUUCGAUAGUGAAAGAUGGUUUUGCUAUCACUUAUAGAUGGACCUGCGCCGUAUUAGCUAGUUGGUAAGGUAACGGCUUACCAAGGCGACGAUACGUAGCCGACCUGAGAGGGUGAUCGGCCACACUGGAACUGAGACACGGUCCAGACUCCUACGGGAGGCAGCAGGG